GACGGAGGAGGCAAGCGUUGUCCGGAAUCAUUGGGGCGUAAAAGAGCGCGUAGGCUGUUUUUUUAAGUCAUAUGUGAAAACCUCAGGCUUAACUUGAGGACUGCAUGUGAAACUGGAAAACUUGAGUGCAGUAGGGGAAAGUGGAAUUCCUGGUGUAGCGGUGAAAUGCGCAGAUAUCAGGAAGAACACCGGUAGCGAAGGCGGCUUUCUGGGCUGCUACUGACGCUGAGGCGCGAAAGCUAGGGGAGCAAACAGGAUUAGAUACCCCUGUA
RNAcentral lists this ribosomal RNA (272 nucleotides) under uncultured prokaryote. RNAcentral's name for it is "partial 16S ribosomal RNA". It matches the Rfam family "Bacterial small subunit ribosomal RNA", at positions 524 to 792 of the family's 1533-position model. The record is from RNAcentral.